RNAcentral lists this unclassified non-coding RNA (336 nucleotides) under fungal sp. RNAcentral's name for it is "partial internal transcribed spacer region". The stretch from base 1 to 46 matches the Rfam family "Eukaryotic small subunit ribosomal RNA", at positions 1786 to 1831 of the family's 1831-position model. Lineage: Eukaryota; Fungi. The record is from RNAcentral.
AAGUCGUAACAAGGUUUCCGUAGGUGAACCUGCGGAAGGAUCAUUAACACGUGAUACGUGUGUGAUUACGGUGCUUCGCGCAUAGGGUCUAACUUACAGUCUUAGCGUGCUUGACACGCAAGUUCGUUCCAGUAGUAGUAGAUAAAUUUCGGCUGCCUAUUAAGCCUGCACCUUGGCUUGCAGUCGAAGUGCUGAUUACUUACCCCUUAUUUUUAUUUAUUCUGAUUUGUACGUUUAUAUUGAAUUCCUAAUACUUCAUUGUGUUGGUUGAGUUUGGUAUAGAUGUCGUAUAUUACUAAUACGAAACAACUCUUAGCAACGGAUAUCUUGGUUCUC